Molecule: ribosomal RNA, 198 nt
Filed under: uncultured bacterium
Lineage: Bacteria
Description: partial 16S ribosomal RNA
Rfam family: Bacterial small subunit ribosomal RNA
Source: RNAcentral
AUUCCUACGGGAGGCAGCAGUAGGGAAUCUUCCGCAAUGGACGAAAGUCUGACGGAGCAACGCCGCGUGAGUGAUGAAGGUUCUCGGAUCGUAAAGCUCUGUUGUUAGGGAAGAACAAGUACCGUUCGAAUAGGGCGGUACCUUGACGGUACCUAACCAGAAAGCCACGGCUAACUACGUGCCAGCAGCCGCGGUAAU